This 433-nucleotide ribosomal RNA is filed under the name Enterococcus sp. C21. RNAcentral describes it as "bacterial SSU rRNA". It matches the Rfam family "Bacterial small subunit ribosomal RNA", at positions 958 to 1392 of the family's 1533-position model. The record is from RNAcentral. Lineage: Bacteria; Bacillati; Bacillota; Bacilli; Lactobacillales; Enterococcaceae.
AACGCGAAGAACCUUACCAGUUCUGGACAUCUUUGGACCCCUUAAGAAAUAGAGCUUCCCCUUCGGGGCCAAAGUGCCAGGUGGUCCAUGGUUGUCUUCAGCUCGUGUCGUGAGAUGUUGGGUUAAGUCCCCCAACGAGCCCAACCCUUAUUUUUAGUUGCCAUCAUUUAGUUGGCCACUCUAGCGAGACUCCCGGUGACAAACCGGAGGAAGGUGGGGAUGACGUCAAAUCAUCAUGCCCCUUAUGACCUGGGCUACNCACGUGCUCCAAUGGGAAGUACAACGAGUUGGGAAGUCGCGAGGUUAAGCUAAUUUCUUAAAGCUUCUCUCAGUUCGGAUUGUAGGCUGCAAUUCGCCUCCAUGAAGCCGGAAUCGUUAGUAAUCGCGGAUCACCACGCCGCGGUGAAUACGUUCCCGGGCCUUGUACACACCG